RNAcentral lists this ribosomal RNA (566 nucleotides) under uncultured Glomeromycotina. RNAcentral's name for it is "SSU rRNA". It matches the Rfam family "Eukaryotic small subunit ribosomal RNA", at positions 548 to 1114 of the family's 1831-position model. The record is from RNAcentral. Lineage: Eukaryota; Fungi; Glomeromycota.
UUGGAGGGCAAGUCUGGUGCCAGCAGCCGCGGUAAUUCCAGCUCCAAUAGCGUAUAUUAUAGUUGUUGCAGUUAAAAAGCUCGUAGUUGAAUUUCGGGAUCAAUGUUUCGGUCAUGCCGUUGGAAUGUACUGAUAUUAUUGAUUUCUCACCUUCUAAAGAACCGUAAUGCCAUUAAUUUGGUGUCACGGGGAAUUAGGACUGUUACCUUGAAAAAAUUAGGGUGUUUAAAGCAGGCUCACGCUUGAAUACAUUAGCAUGGAAUAAUGAAAUAGGACAUCCGAUUCUAUUUUGUUGGUUUCUAGGAUCGAUGUAAUGAUUAAUAGGGAUAGUUGGGGGCAUUAGUAUUCAAUUGUCAGAGGUGAGAUUCUUGGAUUUAUUGAAGACUAACUACUGCGAAAGCAUUUGCCAAGGAUGUUUUCAUUAAUCAAGAACGAAAGUUAGGGGAUCGAAGACGAUCAGAUACCGUCGUAGUCUUAACCAUAAACUAUGCCGACUAGGGAUCGGAUGAUGUUAAUUUUUUAAUGACUCAUUCGGCGCCUUACGGGAAACCAAAGUGUUUGGGUUC